Molecule: non-coding RNA, 128 nt
Organism: Anopheles sinensis
Lineage: Eukaryota; Metazoa; Arthropoda; Insecta; Diptera; Culicidae
Rfam family: drz-agam-1 ribozyme
Source: Rfam
CGUCCAGUAACUCCUAUCCCUACUUCCACGUAGUGCCAGCUGGGGUACGACAGGCCACCAUCGGUAAACGGGUUUACUUAAGCAGACCCGGUUCCCGAUGUUGGAGUGUCGUAUGCUAACAGGGAAGG